UAGGGUGUCAGAGGCUGGACUGCAGUCAACAUUACAAAUGUAAGGGGAGGACAAAUCAAGAGGCUAUCAGAAGAGUCAACACACGAGAAAGAAGACCACCGCUGAUUAAGCGGGUGUUCCUAAGGACUGACUGUGGAUCAGCUGUCCAGAUGAGAGAGUGGAGUGAGUCGGAGAUGACCAUGUCUGCCGGUGGUUACCUCUCUGCCUUUGAUGGAUACGGCAUCUCCGAGCCUCUGCAGUACUACGAUGUGCUAGGGGACCCUUUGGGCUACUCUUUCCAGGAGCCAGACCUACAGGGCCUAGCCUUCAGCCAACAGCAGUACAGCCCCGUCAACCUGCAAUUCUCUGUCUACGAACCACCGUCCUCCCAGCCGUGCCACCCACCCUACACCCACCCCUACAGCCCCCACUUCCUGGAGGCUCCCUGCGAGCCCAGCCCAGAGCCCCAGUGUGGAGGCCUGGGGAAGGUGGGUGGUGGAGGUCUGCCCCUGGUCAAGAGGACCAGGCUGGGCCCUGGAGGGUGGGUGAGGGGCCUGGAUGAGCUUUGUGUGGUGUGUGGAGACAAAGCCUCUGGCUACCAUUACAAUGCCCUCACCUGUGAAGGCUGCAAAGGUUUUUUCCGAAGGAGUGUGACAAAGAAAGCAGUGUACCGGUGUAAAAGUGGCGGAGGCUGUGAGAUGGACAUGUACAUGCGGAGGAAGUGCCAGGACUGCCGCCUGCGUAAAUGUCGUGCUGUGGGCAUGCUAGACGAAUGUCUGCUGACGGAGGUGCAGUGCCAGUCAAAGAGGCUGAGGAAGGGAGCCAAGCACAGAGGUGGAGGGCCUGAGGAGGAGGAGAACAUGGAGAGCAGGAGCGUCAGCUCCACCAACAGGCUGCUAGGACAUGUGGUGUCUGCAAAUCUGUCAAGAGAACAGAAUCAUGUGCUGGACAGGAUAGUGGAGGCUCUUCGGCAGUACAGGGCGCAGUACACUGUACACUGUAGGGUGUUUGAGUGGACUUGUACAGAGGAUGGUGGAGACAGACUAAUGGACGUGGCCUCCCCUCCCUCUCAGAGGCUGCUGCAGUUUGCCAAGAGUGUACCUGGCUUUGAGCUCCUGAACUGCUCGGACCAGAGCACCCUCCUCUCUAGUUCCUCUGUGGAAGUCAUGUUUCUGCUCUCAGCGCAGCAGUUCACCCAAAACCCGGCAGCCUGUAGUCCAGCACUACAGCCUUUCAACAUCUCAUCUCAUCAUUGUCUGAAAAUGAAGGAAAACAUUCAUAGUGGGACUGGCCCUGUAAACUCAGGCAAAAAAUAUGCUAGCCCGGAGAAUCUGGACAUUGCUAAAUAACCAGCUAAACCACUUAUUAAAAACUGUUUGGAUGAAACCAAAACACGUAAGUCGAAAAUAUGCUAAAACUUCAAAAUAGUGAACUAAAACCUUCAAAGAAGUUAGAAUGAAGUGUUGCAAUGGGGCAAAAAAGGAAAUUAUGUGUUUUUACUCUAUGCUUCAAUUGUGUGUCUUAGCUUGUGUGUCUGUGUGCAGGAAUCAAUGAGGACCUGCUCGGGCCGGUGAUCAACUUCUUCCACAGCAUGGCAGCAUUGGGGGUGACCGAGGCUGAAUAUGCCCUGCUCACUGCUACAGUACUGCUAUGCUCAGACGAAGCGUCGCUGCGGGCGGUUACGUGUGUGGAAAGCUUACAGGAGCUGAUCCUGGAGCUGCUGUCCAGGGUGUGCGGAGCCUGGUGUGGAGCCCAGGGCCCUCAGGGAGCCCAGCGCUUCGCGCGCCUGUUGGGGAGACUUACGGAGCUGCGCACGCUACAACACAACCAUCUCACCCUGCUCCGACAACAGCCCUGAGACAGACAUUGAGCACGGAGAGACAGGGAUACAAAUAGUUUAAAUAAGGACUUAGUUUAAUAGUUUAAAUAAAGACUUAAUUUUGUAUGUUUUCUCGAAUUUGUACCCAAAAAAUGUAAGUAACACAAUUGGCCAUUUAUGAUUAUGCGGUUUAUCAUGAAAAUACCAUUCUUUUGAGUGACUGGUUUUACUGUAAAGUUUAAAGUCAAUGACCAGUAUUAAACCAAUAUGAGUUUUGUUAUAUGGAGUAUACAGAUGUAUUAAAAAAGAAUUUUAUCAUA
Oncorhynchus nerka (sockeye salmon) is the source of this 2118-nucleotide RNA transcript. It is a transcript of the gene named bile acid receptor-like, with no coding region annotated. The transcript has 11 exons. The record is from RefSeq and is a predicted model, not a curated record. NCBI's taxonomy places the organism in Eukaryota, Metazoa, Chordata, Actinopteri, Salmoniformes, Salmonidae.